This 497-nucleotide ribosomal RNA is filed under the name uncultured bacterium. RNAcentral describes it as "partial 16S ribosomal RNA". It matches the Rfam family "Bacterial small subunit ribosomal RNA", at positions 28 to 507 of the family's 1533-position model. The record is from RNAcentral.
GAUGAACGCUGGCGGCGUGCCUAAUACAUGCAAGUCGAGCGAACAGACGAGGAGCUUGCUCCUUUGACGUUAGCGGCGGACGGGUGAGUAACACGUAGGUAACCUACCUAUAAGACUGGGAUGACUUCGGGAAACCGGAGCUAAUACCGGAUAAUAUUUCGAACCGCAUGGUUCGAUAGUGAAAGAUGGCUUUGCUAUCACUUAUAGAUGGACCUGCGCCGUAUUAGCUAGUUGGUAAGGUAACGGCUUACCAAGGCAACGAUACGUAGCCGACCUGAGAGGGUGAUCGGCCACACUGGAACUGAGACACGGUCCAGACUCCUACGGGAGGCAGCAGUAGGGAAUCUUCCGCAAUGGGCGAAAGCCUGACGGAGCAACGCCGCGUGAGUGAUGAAGGUCUUCGGAUCGUAAAACUCUGUUAUUAGGGAAGAACAAACGUGUAAGUAACUGUGCACGUCUUGACGGUACCUAAUCAGAAAGCCACGGCUAACUACGUG